AAUGCAGUCGAGCGAACAGACGAGGAGCUUGCUCCUCUGACGUUAGCGGCGGACGGGUGAGUAACACGUGGAUAACCUACCUAUAAGACUGGGAUAACUUCGGGAAACCGGAGCUAAUACCGGAUAAUAUAUUGAACCGCAUGGUUCAAUAGUGAAAGACGGUUUUGCUGUCACUUAUAGAUGGAUCCGCGCCGCAUUAGCUAGUUGGUAAGGUAACGGCUUACCAAGGCAACGAUGCGUAGCCGACCUGAGAGGGUGAUCGGCCACACUGGAACUGAGACACGGUCCAGACUCCUACGGGAGGCAGCAGUAGGGAAUCUUCCGCAAUGGGCGAAAGCCUGACGGAGCAACGCCGCGUGAGUGAUGAAGGUCUUCGGAUCGUAAAACUCUGUUAUUAGGGAAGAACAAAUGUGUAAGUAACUAUGCACGUCUUGACGGUACCUAAUCAGAAAGCCACGGCUAACUACGUGCCAGCAGCCGCGGUAAUACGUAGGUGGCAAGCGUUAUCCGGAAUUAUUGGGCGUAAAGCGCGCGUAGGCGGUUUUUUAAGUCUGAUGUGAAAGCCCACGGCUCAACCGUGGAGGGUCAUUGGAAACUGGAAAACUUGAGUGCAGAAGAGGAAAGUGGAAUUCCAUGUGUAGCGGUGAAAUGCGCAGAGAUAUGGAGGAACACCAGUGGCGAAGGCGACUUUCUGGUCUGUAACUGACGCUGAUGUGCGAAAGCGUGGGGAUCAAACAGGAUUAGAUACCCUGGUAGUCCACGCCGUAAACGAUGAGUGCUAAGUGUUAGGGGGUUUCCGCCCCUUAGUGCUGCAGCUAACGCAUUAAGCACUCCGCCUGGGGAGUACGACCGCAAGGNUGAUACUCAAAGGAAUUGACGGGGACCCGCU
This 889-nucleotide ribosomal RNA is filed under the name Staphylococcus epidermidis. Its description in RNAcentral is "bacterial SSU rRNA". It matches the Rfam family "Bacterial small subunit ribosomal RNA", at positions 54 to 925 of the family's 1533-position model. Lineage: Bacteria; Bacillati; Bacillota; Bacilli; Caryophanales; Staphylococcaceae. The record is from RNAcentral.